AUUUUCCAACCAGAGUUAAAUUUGCUAUGAGGAUGGUUAAUCCACCCUUACUAAUUUGUAUACAGUUUUUUUAUUUAAAAACACUCUACAAACCCUAAGGGCUCCAAUGUGCUCUUAAUGUGUGGUAUAUUUUACUUUGAGUUGUAUGCAUUAGCAGUUUCAGUUAAAGAUGGCAUCGAGACUUGCUGUCGAUCAAGGAGUAUAGGAUCUGGUAACACAGUUGCUCAUCCUAAAAAAGGGCUUUGAAUGGUUGGAGAAGAUGCUCAGACAUAUGUGUGGUUAUCUGCAAGCUACGGAUCAUGUAAGAGCCCACGAUCUCUCUGUGAAAGAGUGGCGGCAGGAAGUGAGGGAUAUCGUGGAGCACAAGGAAGAUGAAUUUCUCAGAUUGUUGCCCUCGUGCGAAAGGGGCGAUCUGGGAGAAGAACAUCAAAUUACACAAGAAUUUGGGGCAUCCACAUGGAGGGAGCCCAAUUUGAAAUUUCAAACUGCCGAAAAUAACAUAUGAGCAUAGAUGGUGGGCAUUUAAGGCUGCAGUUUUGGGGUGAGGGGGGGCUGUUUUUGGAGCCAGGGAUUUUUUCUGGAGGAAUAAAAGAGGAACCUCCAGAUUUUUGAAAAGAGGGAAAAAUGGGGAGUAGUUUUGAUUUAAGGGUGGAACAGCACUUAUUUGUUGCAGGUGUAGGGAAGUAUUGACAGCAGCAUGUUGGCCGGGAGUGCAUGUUUCAGAGUUUUGGGGAGUUCAGUUGAAGAUUUGCAGGUUGGAGGGGUAGGAAUUCACAGAAGAGAAGUCUUUUCAUGGAGAUCGUUUAUGCGUCUCUUCUUGCUGUUGUUUUUCUAUUGAGAUCAGAUUUAAAUCAGUUUGUUAGCUGUAUUUAUCAGUAAUAAUGGAUUUCUGAGUUUAAUGUAUCAUUUUGGUGAAGUUCAAUGAGAAAAACAGAGUUUUUCCAAAUCAGAAUUUUAAUUCUGUUUCAUAACAGUUACUUUGCAUUUGGUGUUGUUAUUUUAGAUAGAUGGUUUGUAUUUAAUCCUAUCUUACAUCACAUUCCGAGAGAAAAUAAAUGUUGUAUCAUCUUCACCAAGUUUAUCUUCGUUGUUUCUCUGUGCCAAGUUGGAUAUGUGGUUUGGUGAGUCUCACAUAACUUACAUUAUGUGAGUCAAGGAUUAUUAAUUGCGUUAGAUCCCUUUAUUCAUAAUUCUUAUGUGAAGAUUUUCACUGUAUUAAAAUUUUAUAGUUGUAUUUAAGACUUAGUUACAUGCAAACAAGAGCAGCUAAGCACCCAGUUCCCACCUUAGAUUGAAAAGAGUGGUGACUAAUAAUGGUAAAAUAGAAGCAGCAAGUUUAUUGUAAAAUCUUAAAAAAUGGUAAUAGAACAAACUUUUACUGUGAAAGAGAUGUACUUUUUUUAUGAACUUAAAGUGCACGUCUAAUGUCAAAUUUUGUUUGUCCAACAUACACCAAUUC
Molecule: RNA transcript, 1459 nt
Organism: Cryptomeria japonica (Japanese cedar)
Lineage: Eukaryota; Viridiplantae; Streptophyta; Pinopsida; Cupressales; Cupressaceae
Exons: 2
Source: RefSeq, a predicted model, not a curated record